CCUACGGGUGGCAGCAGUGGGGAAUAUUGGACAAUGGGGGCAACCCUGAUCCAGCCAUGCCGCGUGUGUGAAGAAUGCCCUCGGGUUGUAAAGCACUUUCAGUGAGGAAGAACGCCUGGUGGUUAAUACCCAUCAGGAAAGACAUCACUCACAGAAGAAGCACCGGCUAACUCCGUGCCAGCAGCCGCGGUAAUACGGAGGGUGCGAGCGUUAAUCGGAAUUACUGGGCGUAAAGCGCGCGUAGGUGGCUUGAUAAGCCGGUUGUGAAAGCCCCGGGCUCAACCUGGGAACGGCAUCCGGAACUGUCAAGCUAGAGUGCAGGAGAGGAAGGUGGAAUUCCCGGUGUAGCGGUGAAAUGCGUAGAGAUCGGGAGGAAUACCAGUGGCGAAGGCGGCCUUCUGGACUGACACUGACACUGAGGUGCGAAAGCGUGGGUAGCAAACAGGAUUAGAUACCCCAGUAGUC
This 465-nucleotide ribosomal RNA is filed under the name Vreelandella stevensii. RNAcentral's name for it is "partial 16S ribosomal RNA". It matches the Rfam family "Bacterial small subunit ribosomal RNA", at positions 338 to 795 of the family's 1533-position model. Lineage: Bacteria; Pseudomonadati; Pseudomonadota; Gammaproteobacteria; Oceanospirillales; Halomonadaceae. The record is from RNAcentral.